Molecule: ribosomal RNA, 497 nt
Filed under: uncultured bacterium
Lineage: Bacteria
Description: partial 16S ribosomal RNA
Rfam family: Bacterial small subunit ribosomal RNA
Source: RNAcentral
GAUGAACGCUGGCGGCGUGCCUAAUACAUGCAAGUCGAGCGAACAGACGAGGAGCUUGCUCCUCUGACGUUAGCGGCGGACGGGUGAGUAACACGUGGAUAACCUCCCUAUAAGACUGGGAUAACUUCGGGAAACCGGAGCUAAUACCGGAUAAUAUAUUGAACCGCAUGGUUCAAUAGUGAAAGACGGUUUUGCUGUCACUUAUAGAUGGAUCCGCGCCGCAUUAGCUAGUUGGUAAGGUAACGGCUUACCAAGGCAACGAUGCGUAGCCGACCUGAGAGGGUGAUCGGCCACACUGGAACUGAGACACGGUCCAGACUCCUACGGGAGGCAGCAGUAGGGAAUCUUCCGCAAUGGGCGAAAGCCUGACGGAGCAACGCCGCGUGAGUGAUGAAGGUCUUCGGAUCGUAAAACUCUGUUAUUAGGGAAGAACAAAUGUGUAAGUAACUAUGCACGUCUUGACGGUACCUAGUCAGAAAGCCCCGGCUAACUACGUG